ACACCAUGUAUUGGUCAGCAGUCACAAUGCUCAUAAUGAACCCCUGAAGGUUAGGCAGGGUUUUCACUGCAAAUGAUGGUCUCCCAGCCCAAGGGGAAGAGUUCUGUAUAUAAUGAAUUACAUUCAGUGCUUGUUGCAUGGAUAGGGACACACUGCUGGCAGAAGCAAUUCAUCCCUAUGAGCAGCCAUUGUUAGCAGACACUGCUGGGGAGGGGGAUGCAGAGACACCAGGCAGUCCCAGAGGGGCCUUGGUGGCCGUAUGGCCAUGUGCAGACUGCUUCUUGCAAGUAUCCAUGUAGCACUAUGGAACUAAUUACUUAAUUUAGGACUUCUAUCACUUUUUCAUUAGGCAUUAAUUAAUGUCUGCCUUUUAAGGUCAGUAUGAAAUACAAGAUGGAGGCUGGGCAUAUGUUAAUGAGACUCCUACUAAUUAAAUAGAAGCUUCAGAAGGAAGAGCUCUGACAAGUAACCAACACCAUUUGCACAUAGUAUAUUGAUUCAGAAAAUGUAAAAUUGAAAAGAAAAAAUAAUUGCUUAAGCAUUUCACUCUCCAGGAAAGCCUGAUUCAUAGAUCAUCAAAUAUUUUAAUUGAAUUUAUCGAAAGCCUCCAAAUAAAUUUGAGUAAAGGAUUAUACUUGGAUCAUUCUUUGGCUGUCUGGAAUUUUGCAGUGACAAGAUCCUUAUCUUCAUCCAACAGCAGCCUUUACUCUGCACUGCUGGGCUGUGGCUGAUGCAGCUGCUCCAUAGACAAGCACAGUUCUCAGAAAGCACUCAAGUUCAUUCCUAAGCCUCGAUGUAUAAUCCAGGAAGACUAAAAAGCAAGCAAGCCUACUAAUCCUCGUCUCACUGGCUAAAAUGUGAGUAAAAUGUCUUAUAUUUCAAAUGAGCCAAAGUAUCUUGUGUGCACAAACAGCUGCAAGAUUUUUUGGUCAUCUUUCAUGGGUAAUUAUUCACCUGAGAACAAAUCAAGCAAAAAGAAAAAUAUAUAUAUAUAUACAUAUGUAGACAGAGAGAGCUAGAAGGAAGGGAGUGAGACAAGUGCCUGGCUGGCGCAUGUGGAGUGCCUGCAGACCAUGUCUGUGAACACCAUCAGUCAUACAGGCACAACUAGGGCACGUAUAACAUGAGGAAGGUAAAACAUCUCAUAAUUGUGUAAUGUACUGCACAAGUGUAGUUACUGGAAUAAAUAACAGUCUACUCAGCUGUAUCCUGCAGAGCCAAAUAUAAAUAUUAAGCUAAAAAUAACAGCCACAAUAAUGACUUUAUUGGUGCUCACAACAGUGUGAUAAACACUUUAAGAGAGAACGCUGUGCAGUGCAGGCUCUGCUUUCCAGCUAGCAGCAAUAACACAUUGCUGCCAUGGGGGUAUCUGUGCUGAGGGCUUUGGGUGCUGCUUUCAGGGAUCUGGGCUAAGCACCUGCUGGCCAGGCACACCGAGUGAAGGAGAGAGCCCUGGAGAUUCCUACUGCAGACUUCCUGUUACACAAGUCACAGCCCAAGUUCAGGAAUGCACAUUUGCACACAGCUGAACUAAUAUGAGCUAAGCUCUGCGGACACAGCCACAGGUUUUACAUCAGGCAUUUCCUUGUUUCUCCACAAUCAUACUUGAGCAUGUACUUUUGUGCCUUAAUUCAGAGCCUUAACCUCAACAUUUCAAUACCCCAGAGGAUCGCUUUGACUGUCUUUACCUACUUUUGUUUAUUCUGGGAGCAGGAUGGGCUUUUACCCCAUGUAUGUACAGCUCCCAGUCUGUGGAGCUCUGUCCUUGGCUAGGGCCACCAGAUGUUGUGAAAGAGAGAAUAUUACAAACAGGGGUGAUAAUAGCUCCUGGGCCAGUCCUCAAAGCAGGUUCAAGGGCUGGGACCAAUUCAGAUCAGUUCUACUCUAGACUCUGUGCAGCAGCGAGUGCGAGCUGGAAGCAGGAUACAUUACACAUCUGCUUGAUUUUGUUUCAGACUCUUGUAAUAAAAAUUGAGGUAUGUGACUAUGAGAAAAGGAGGUUUUGGUCCUCCAGUAAAAAAUGAGAAAUAAAUGCAUACGACCACCAAAAGUGACAGCUCACACAGCACUAGAAAAAAAAAGGUCUAAAUAACUAAUGGGCUGAGUAAUAAGGUUUUGGGUAAACUGAGAGUAACAGAAGAAAUUGCCUUAGAAAUUGCUCUGCGUAAAACAUUUGUUGAGUACAUUGCUUUUGUGAAAAUAAAAGCUUGUCUCUGUGGAUAAUUUGUCAAGGGGAAAGGCACUCAAUUCAAAACAGUAAAGUCUUCUUUGUAAGCUAUGUCUCCACAUUUAUAUUUAUUCAAAGGUCUAGAAGACAGUUCUAUUAGAAAUAUCUGAGCAAUUAAGCAAUCUACACAUCGUUCCCUUAAGUAUGUGUUCAAUGGGACAGAAAGAACACAGUGUUGUUUCCAAGACUACCUGGUGAGAUGAAAAACGUUCUCCACAGCUUCUUGUCGCGAGUAACAUCUCGUAUCUCCCUGGUCAUGUUAACCAGUCUACCUGCAACUGGUGGGACGCGACGGAAGUCCAGGAUCCUGGGAGAAAAGGAGAAGAGGCAGUUUAUGGAAAAGACUGAAACACAACCAUAGUGAUAGGUUUCAGGAAGGUUCAUUACACUCUGAAGGCACAUUAAUCUGGGGCCAUUAAGGAGUGAAAAGCCCAUCAACUUUAAACUGCAUCAUCCUUCUGAUAAUAUACUACAAAAUAUGUCAUGAAUAUUAUCAGCCUACUUAGUAUGGAGCAGACACAGAGCAGUGUGGAGACAUGCUGUCCCAUGAAAAAAAACAGUGACAGAAUUCCAGAAAGAAGGGACAGGAGGGACUUGGUUUACACCUGGUGCCAAUUUGGGGUUGUCACAACAUGUGUUUUGCUCACAAAUGUUUUAGUGACCGGAGGAAUGGGCUUUCAGCCUCUUUCUUCCACAAACACCAUCUAAUAAACCUAAAAACUAGUCUUUUUUUUUUCUUUUUUUUUUUUUUCUGACAGUCUUUGUAUUUGUUUCAUUUAUUUCCUUCUGCUUCUCCCUGUUCCAGUACUCUCAUACCAAUACAAACAACCUCCCUGAAACUAAACAUUUUCCCACAGGCAAAGGCUGGAGAAAGAGCCUUUCUCAACCACAAACUCCCCAGCUUUAGUAGAUCAUUAAAAACUCCCUAUGAAGCAUUGCCAUUAGACACAGUAAAAGAGCAAAGUCUCCAUACAAAGCCUCCCCAUAGGUGGGAUUUUUAUGUCCACUCUACUGAUCAGAUUUUCUACACUGGGUAGCAACUGCUUUUUCUGCUUAACAUGUGGAUGUUUAGCAUUACUCCCUGCAGGAACUCCAUUAAUGCCUUUUCCUACAGCACCAUCUGCUUAAAAUGGCAAUAUAAAAUAUAAAACAGAGGGGAUCAGCACCAAGGUCAACAUUAAAAUACAAAAGACCCCUUAAGGAUGUGACCAAGAUGGCUCUUAAUGGCCAAUCUACUCUGUGCCACCCACAGACACGCUCCCUCAUCCUGACCAUCAAACCAGAAGGCACCAAUACUCCAUGCACCUCUAAACAAUUUGUGGCCCAAAGCUUCAAACUUUUGCAAGGAUCUUUUUUGGCACUGCAGGCUGUGAAAGAAGCUUCAGUUCUAACUCAGCCUGUGAAAUGCAACGCUUUGUUGGCCUUUUGUUAGUAAUUCCUCGUUAAUAAUUAAUUCUUGCUCCUAAUGUGGGCUGGCUGAGACUGUCCUCAGUCCAUUUCCAACACUGCCCAUACUAUUUCUGCUUGAAGGACAUUUUCAGCUAACAGGAACGUGAGAUGAUCAUCAGUGUCCUCUCUAUCCUAAAUACCCCCCUGACAUGGGACAGCCCUAGCUUCUGGCUGAGACGUCAGGACUCAUUUUCUACAGCAAUUACUCUUCUCUGAACACUGAGGAGAUUCCCCAUGCCUCAUUUGGAUUUGCCCGUCCUGGAGCUGAUUGGGAAGAAAUGGGAUCAUUGCAGUUUGACGGCCACGACACAUGUCAUGUUUCAAAGAACAUUAACAAGCCUGUGUUCCUCAGAAGAUGCAGAAUUUGUUGUUUCUUCAGCAUAAGAAACAAUAAAAAAUGUCAUUCUGAUGGAAAGGAAAAGGCUAAAGAUUGAACACCGAAUUCCAUGGCAAACAGAAAGCUCUGCAUGACAGAAGCAAAUCUGCCUCAUUUUAGGCAAUUUCCAGUCCUGAUGGCUUUUGGAUGGAAAGCAACUCUAGCAGUUGACCAAUGCAAUGUCAGGGCCCCACCAAAAUCUGCACCAUAUUCUAUUUGAAGUCUUAAACAUGAAAUAUGGACUGCAAAGCUGUUCUGUACAACAUCUGCAAGGGAGGACAGUUCCCUAGAAGAGGAAAGCAUAAUUUUCCCAAGCUCUUUCUCAUUCUGUGCUGUCCCAGGUGGCCAGCUGACAGCUCAUGCAUCACUUCUGCUACACACCAGCCAUUAAAACACAUGCUUGCUUCCACAAAGACCAUGGUAUCCCUGCCCACAGCAGAGCAUUGGAACCAGAUGAGCUCUAAGCCUUCCAACCCAAGACACUAUAUGAUUCUGUGAUUCCACGAUAAGUGCUGAACUAUUGCCAUCACAGAGAGAACAUCAGGGUAUUUGGUGGGUCCAGUAUAACGGGAGGUCAGAGGGGCAGGAGGUCAGAAAAUAAAAAGUAAUACUGUGCUUUGUCUUCACCGUACAUGGAAAGGGAAAGGAUAGCACCUACAAGGAGGAAAACAGAAGAGUCCAAAACCUGAGGCAAGUCACACAGGGUGCUGUGUAAAGAACACGAAAGCUAGGAGAGCUGCAGCCCUGUUGGGUAUAUUCCCCUCAAAAAUGAAGAAAUGAGCCUUGAACAUAAAUGCAAAGAAAAAGGUUAUGAUAUUUCCGUUGGGCAGAAGAUUAUGAGUCUGUAUAUAACUUUCCUUCCCUUCCAGAUCUUAAAACAGUCGAUUGCUUCAACAAAUCAAAGAAAAAAAAGACUCAUCCCAAGCCUUUGCAAACUUUACACAUAUCAGCGCAGCUGAUAAGCAGCAGAAAAUAUUACUAAUUAGCUAAUCAAUGCCAUCUGCUUUUUAUCUCCAGAAGGCUUUAAACAUAUCAUGGCUGUUCCUUUACAAGAAAAUCUUGCUCUGGAAAAUGAGACUUAAAGAAAGGGUCAAUCUGAAUCUUGCAAGCACAGCUCUCCCACCACCCCAUGACGGCUCCCAACGCGCUGGGCAGUCAGCACAUCGCCGCCGGGAUGCUCUGGUCUCACUCAUUUCAUUCUUCUCUUUGUUCCCUGCCACCUCUGGCAAUGGUUGGGGAUAUUAUUCAUUUUCAAGUAAGUACAGCUCUCCUGCAGGCUUCCACUUGUUAGUACAUAUUUCUCUCCUGUCAUAAUAUAUUAUUGAAUGGUGCCAUGGGCGUGCCCUCCUAGAAAAUCAUGAACUUGAUUGUCCUUAAAACUUUCAAAAAUGGAUACCAAAUUGGCAGUGCAAUAUAAACAAUGGAAAUAUUGUGUUUUGUAAGCUUGACUAGAGAUCAUGAAACAAACUUGUACGUUUCUUCAGUGCUUCAGGUGUUUCACUCUAGUCAUCCAUAGACGAACACUCUCCAGCCACAGUCACCAUGGGCUGUGCCCACAGGCAUGGCAGCCACUUUGCUGUUUCUGGGCAGCGCUGGGUACUUCUGAAUGCAGACUGGAAGGAGUAUUUAUCCAAAACAGCUCUGCAGAACUAAGCUGUACUAGGCUCAAAAGUGAAACUCUCAGAAAUAACCUUGAAAAAUCCCUUCGCAUAACAGGAUCCAAUAUUCCACUUACAAGAAGGGGAAUCUUGCUCUUUGGAUCUGACUCAAGCGGGCUACAGUUUUAUUCAAACAAAUUAUCAUUAGUUUGAUGUCUGCAGCAGCACCCGAAGAGCAGCUGUACCGCCAGCAGAUGCCAGCAUGUGUGAUGACCAUUGCCUUCAGUACAACACUGCAUUUGAAAGGUCUAAUGCAGUGCUGAAUUGAUGGAAUCAGUGGACCAUUAGGAAUGGCUUCUGCAGUGCUAGAAGGAUGCCUACAUCAUAAUCAUAACCUUGAUUGUUUAGUUUAAAUAAAUUUGUGCAUGAUGUUAUUGUAUUUGAAAACUUGAUAGUUUUAGUGUGUGCAGUCUAAUCAUCACCCAGUUUGCUGCUAGUUCUUCUAAUAAUCUUCUUACACACACACAGUCUUUGGACACGCACACCUGAUGUGUGUGUAGGGAGCAGUGGGAAAUGCGAUGAUUCUAUAACCAAACCCUGCUCUCAGUAACACGGAUGGGCAGUCAGCAAGCCCAGCAGUUACUCUAGCACAGCAGCCUCAGUCUCUGCAGGAAAGGCUGGGAAAGGAGCAUGCACUCUGAGCCAGAGUCAAUUAAAAUAUCUUACGAAACAACACUGGAGCUGAUCCAUCCCAUAGCGUGUGUUAAAUCAGAGCUGCAUUUUAAGGGAAAAAAAAAAACAAUCUAAGGACAAUCCCAAGCCAGAAACCCCUCUAUUAUUUUAUCACCCGGUGGUUAUUGAAGGCUACUGCCUAAUAAAACCACACGUGCAGUGAAGUAUUUGAGCACGCAGACCAAUCCGCCGGGUGCUCACACAUUGUUCAUGUCUGAUGGACAGCAAACCCCAUAGCAGGACUCAGUCCUGCACACGUUGGCAACAGUGGGAGAGCGUUUCUGGCUGCAGCUCUUAUUUUGCAAACAGUUGGAAUCUGGUGAUCCUCUCUUUGGAGGAGGAUUUGGCAGAUAUUUCUAACGGCAGGCUGGGAAGCUCUGGAGGAGAGACAGAUGGAGGUCUGUUGGUGCUGCACACAGUUAAAAAUUACACAGUGGCACCAGACCAAUUACUGCACGAGGAAAAGACAAAUCAGCAUCAGUAACACUCAUAGGGGAGGAAUAAGAGGAAUAUGAACUAAGGGGAAAGCAAAGCCCAUGAAAAUUUCCCAGCUUGGAGAAAACACAGGAAGUAAAGAAGGAUUUUAAACAGGAUAAGAACACAUCUGCACAGUAAGAUGGAACUGUCUGAUCUUGCAGCUGGAAGAGCAAGUCAUGCCUGAAAACAGGAGCAACAGAGAUACUGUGCUAAGUGAACGCAGUCGUAGUCAAUCAGGUGAGCAGCUCCCUGUGACCACGGCUGGGACCUGCUGGGGAGCUCAGGAGUUUCUGGAUAAGCCAAUAUAGCGAUGUGUGUGCAGCUGUAACUGCAAAGCCUCAAGUUUUUCAUUAUAUGCUUCUGCAAACAAUUGUUGGCCAACUUUGCCCAAACUCAGCAUUAUUAAUUUCUUGGGUUUUUUUUUUUUUCUUUUUUUUCAUGAAGCUCAUCAGCACACUGAGGCUGCAGGCUCCAAGGCAUUUCAGGAAGCACUGUUAGGAUGCCUUGAACAUGGAAAUCUCUGUUUAGCUCCCAGGAUCUCCUGUGUGCACCUGCCUGAAUUACCUGGAUUAAUCCCCACCAGGGCCACACAUUGCUCGAAAGAAUCCUGCCUCAAUGCCAGACUUCCUCUGCACCGGAGGGGUCCUAUUAUCUGUGCAGCAGCCAGAAAGCCAGAAUAUAGGGCAAACAGCCCAAUCUGACUCAACUGCUAUUCCGACAGACACACUGUCUUCCCGUGCUGCAGUCCAAGGAUAUUUCGGGACACCUUGGUCUCAAAGGCGCGUACCUCAGCUAAUCAAAGGACACGCUGAUGACUUGAAAAGAGCUCCUCCUAACAAGGCUGUGCUCCUGCUCCCACCCAUAAUCAGGGGAAUCAGAGAAAGGGAUUAGGGAUGAUUAGGGAUCGCAGGUCUGCAGCAGAGAGGGGUUGGCUUGGGUUGGUUUGGGAGACAGAGACCCUGAUCCUGGGGAAAUCUGGCAGCUGCAAAAUCAGCAAGAACGUAACUGGGGAAGGAGGCACAGUAAGUACAUUGGCAGGGACAGAGCUAACACUGCUAAGAGAGUAAUGUGGUUAUGGGAAAAGAGAACUGGAGAUUAGCCGGGUCUACCCAUGGCUACAGGUCGCUAUUCUUUCCCAUGGAAAGCAGCUUUCCUCUGCUCCAGUUAAGGUGCCUAAAUACCUGCUCUGGGCUUGACAGUUAAUAUCCAGUGUUAUCUGAAUGAUAGAAUGCAGUUAGUGCAGGAGCUAACCCAGGAGGAACUGGGGACUUCUUGCGUUCAGAAGCACCGCGUGGGGUUUGGCACUGCUUUUAAAACACCAGCAAUCAACUAAUGUAACCACAGAUGCUUCAUCAAGUCCAGAAAGCCCUUCCCGCGGUGCAGGCAGGCAGGCAAGCAAAUCUGCAGCAUAGGAACUUCUUUGUACUGUGGAAAAUGCAGACUGAGAGUCCAGUGCCUGCUUGCAGGAUUUUCUCCCCCCCCCCUCCGCAACCCUUGUGUCAAAUUGGAUUGUGCAGCACUGGGAUCCAGAGUGCCCUGAGAUAAUCUAAAGCGUAUUAUUCUAACUGAAGGAGGCAGCCCGUGGAAAAAAAAAAAAGAAGAGAGAGAAACAAAACAAUGUCUCUGAGGCUUCUGCAGUGCUUAGGAGCACGCUUAGGUUUUGCAUGCAGAGUCCUAUCACCAGGGAGAGCUUUCUGUGCAUUUGGCACCAGUUAGAACAGGUGGAAAAAAUGCCACUUAAUUUUAGAAUACAUUUUAGUAGCUUAAUAAGUCCUUAGGAAGAUAAAUGACACUGCUAAUGCAGUUACAUCUACAGUAGCAGAGCUAUCUGGUGCCUGCUUCCGACUCCUUAUGGAGUCUUGGCAGCUGAUGGCUUUGGCUUUAUCAAAGUGCUCUGCUGCAAAAAGCACUCCCAGGAACGAUAUGAGCUGUUUACAAGAGCAGAAUACGGUCCAGAAAAUGAGUGGCCAAUCCAGGAAUGCAAAGACAUGCGCUUUAAGUGGUACAGAAAAGAUGUUUGGCCCGUGUCGUUGCUCUCAUGCAAACAACAAUAUGGGCCUCUGCAGAAUAUGUAGGCUUCUCCCGUUCAGCUAGCACUUCUGCAGCUAGAAAAAUGAGAGAGUAUUUACUGUGGCAGAAAGACAGAAAUUCGCACAGGGAUGUGCUAGGAAUAGGAAUAAUUAGCAAACCGCCACAAGGAUAAAUACCAAGAUGAUGCUAUUGCAUGCCAGCCCUGGAGUGCUUUUCUCCAGAGAAGACGAGGAGAGCUUGACAGCAGCACAUGCUCAAGGACCAGUCAGCGCCACAGAAAUCGCAAACUUCUAAGACAAUGCAUAACAAUGAGCUUCAAAAAGAGCAUUUGUAUGUAUGAGUAUCUCGUUACCUGGCACAGGAGGGUACUGGGGGGAAGAGGGAGAGAAAAUCCUCAGGGAAAAGGUAUACUGAGAGGUUUUUUUCCAUUUCCGAUUGCAGAAGUCAAAGGAAAAAGGCUCAGGAGGUCACCUACCCCAGCCCCUGGCCCCAGGGCAAGAUCAGCCUGACCCAAACCAUUCUUGACAGACUUCGCUGCAACGCAGUCUUCAAAACAUCCUUUUCCUGUCCCAUGGCUACAGCCCUCUCCUCCUUGUCCCCACGUGCUGGCCUCACUUCUGCACAUUUCCCCUCUGUCUCCUCCUUGUCCCAUGACCAAGGCAAAGCCAUCACAUGGCACCUGCUGCAGCAUACCUGAGUGUCUUCCUGAGAAACAAAUACAUGUAAGAGAUUUGCCAUAGUGACUGGCUCCCAUUCCUGAAAAGCACAUCCCAAAGCUGAGACCUGGGAACUACACCUUAAUGCCUUUAUAUCCCUCUGCUCAGAGACCCCUUCUUUAGGGAAUGAAGAACCAUUUAUCUGUUUUUAAUUCAUUACAAUUCUCUCCAACCCAAGGUCUUGAAAUACUGACUUCUGCCUUUCCUCUCAAAACCGGCACUGUUUCUAGAAGACAAGGAAGCAACCUCUGAUUCCUUGACACAGAUCAGGGAGUUUGGGAAAAGGGUUUGCAAAGCUGCACCAUGGCUCAAAGCAUCGUCAGUGAAAGGCUCCUGCCAGUCCGUACAUGAGAAUAUAUCAGAUUUCCACCUGAGCAGAUUUCCACCUGAGCAAAACACCAGCUGCCCCUCCUGACUACACAGGCAGGUUGGAUACAAAGGAAUGAAUAAUCAAAGUAACUAGAAGGAUCUGAGAAUAUGAAAGAUUUGUUUUAUUCUCCGAUAAAUAUAAAAAUAAUAAUAAAACCGGGCAUUUUCCUCCA
Gallus gallus (chicken) is the source of this 10148-nucleotide long non-coding RNA. RefSeq lists it as uncharacterized. The record is from RefSeq and is a predicted model, not a curated record. The transcript is spliced from 2 exons. NCBI's taxonomy places the organism in Eukaryota, Metazoa, Chordata, Aves, Galliformes, Phasianidae.